GAGGUUGUAGCUCAGUUGGUUAGAGCGUCGGAUUGUGGUUCCGAAGGCCGCGGGUUCGAGCCCCGUCUUCCUCCCCA
RNAcentral lists this transfer RNA (77 nucleotides) under Runella rosea. Its description in RNAcentral is "Runella sp. HYN0085 tRNA-His". It matches the Rfam family "tRNA". From Rfam's summary of the family: Transfer RNA (tRNA) molecules are approximately 80 nucleotides in length. Their secondary structure includes four short double-helical elements and three loops (D, anti-codon, and T loops). RNAcentral also lists the same sequence under 2 other names. The record is from RNAcentral. Lineage: Bacteria; Pseudomonadati; Bacteroidota; Cytophagia; Cytophagales; Spirosomataceae.